This 1410-nucleotide ribosomal RNA is filed under the name bacterium. Its description in RNAcentral is "bacterial SSU rRNA". It matches the Rfam family "Bacterial small subunit ribosomal RNA". The record is from RNAcentral.
UCGAGCGAAUCUGAGGGAGCUUGCUCCCAAAGAUUAGCGGCGGACGGGUGAGUAACACGUGGGCAACCUGCCUGUAAGACUGGGAUAACUUCGGGAAACCGGAGCUAAUACCGGAUAAUCCUUUUCUACUCAUGUAGAAAAGCUGAAAGAUGGCUUCGGCUAUCACUUACAGAUGGGCCCGCGGCGCAUUAGCUAGUUGGUGAGGUAACGGCUCACCAAGGCGACGAUGCGUAGCCGACCUGAGAGGGUGAUCGGCCACACUGGGACUGAGACACGGCCCAGACUCCUACGGGAGGCAGCAGUAGGGAAUCUUCCGCAAUGGACGAAAGUCUGACGGAGCAACGCCGCGUGAGUGAUGAAGGUUUUCGGAUCGUAAAACUCUGUUGUUAGGGAAGAACAAGUACCGUUCGAAUAGGGCGGUACCUUGACGGUACCUAACCAGAAAGCCACGGCUAACUACGUGCCAGCAGCCGCGGUAAUACGUAGGUGGCAAGCGUUGUCCGGAAUUAUUGGGCGUAAAGCGCGCGCAGGUGGUUUCUUAAGUCUGAUGUGAAAGCCCCCGGCUCAACCGGGGAGGGUCAUUGGAAACUGGGAGACUUGAGUGCAGAAGAGGAAAGUGGAAUUCCAAGUGUAGCGGUGAAAUGCGUAGAGAUUUGGAGGAACACCAGUGGCGAAGGCGACUUUCUGGUCUGUAACUGACACUGAGGCGCGAAAGCGUGGGGAGCGAACAGGAUUAGAUACCCUGGUAGUCCACGCCGUAAACGAUGAGUGCUAAGUGUUAGAGGGUUUCCGCCCUUUAGUGCUGCAGCAAACGCAUUAAGCACUCCGCCUGGGGAGUACGGCCGCAAGGCUGAAACUCAAAGGAAUUGACGGGGGCCCGCACAAGCGGUGGAGCAUGUGGUUUAAUUCGAAGCAACGCGAAGAACCUUACCAGGUCUUGACAUCCUCUGACAAUCCUAGAGAUAGGACGUUCCCCUUCGGGGGACAGAGUGACAGGUGGUGCAUGGUUGUCGUCAGCUCGUGUCGUGAGAUGUUGGGUUAAGUCCCGCAACGAGCGCAACCCUUGAUCUUAGUUGCCAGCAUUCAGUUGGGCACUCUAAGGUGACUGCCGGUGACAAACCGGAGGAAGGUGGGGAUGACGUCAAAUCAUCAUGCCCCUUAUGACCUGGGCUACACACGUGCUACAAUGGAUGGUACAAAGGGCUGCAAGACCGCGAGGUUUAGCCAAUCCCAUAAAACCAUUCUCAGUUCGGAUUGCAGGCUGCAACUCGCCUGCAUGAAGCCGGAAUCGCUAGUAAUCGCGGAUCAGCAUGCCGCGGUGAAUACGUUCCCGGGCCUUGUACACACCGCCCGUCACACCACGAGAGUUUGUAACACCCGAAGUCGGUGGGGUAACCGCAAGGAGCCAGC